Homo sapiens (human) is the source of this 675-nucleotide long non-coding RNA. NCBI's taxonomy places the organism in Eukaryota, Metazoa, Chordata, Mammalia, Primates, Hominidae. The record is from Ensembl.
GUCACGUAGUCCUCCUAACUGCCCUCAGCCUGGGCCUUCAGCCCCCUUCCUUCUGUAGAUCUGGUGGCUUCAGCUGUUUUGUCACUGGAGAGAGGAAACUGGUCGUGCAGAAAGUAGGAGGAGGAGGUAAAUCACAGUGAAGCUGCUCUGUAGCCCAAAAGCUGCUUCUUGUUCUACCUCUAUGGGCUCUGGGGGGAAAACUGCCCUGGACCUGAAUCCUAACCCCAAUAACUCCUACCUCUGUGAACUUCGACAAGUGACUUUAACCUCUUUGAAUCUUAAGUUCCUUAACUAUAAAACAGGGACAAUAAUGGUACCUUCCUCAUACAGUUACUAUUCAGGAAUACAGAGAUGUGCAUAAAACUCUUCAGCACCAUAGCUGGCACCUUAGCACAUGUUCAAUAAGCAUGUGUUCUAUGAUGAUUACGACCACAACAGAACCUGAGGACGCGUUGGGAGGGCAGUGCCUCCCUGACAGAGCAGCUCAACACCGUGGGAGCGCGGGAACCUCGAAUUCAGAGCCCUCGGACCACCACCAAAGAGCCAAGGGUGAUCACGGCCGGGACAAAGGUCUCCUUUGACCACUUCUGAGCUUUCACCAUGAAACAGAAAUACACGGCAGACAUCCUUCUCCUUGGAAUUAAAAAAACCUGCUGUUGAAUGAAGAAUAAAGGC